CGUAGGGUGCGAGCGUUGUCCGGAAUUACUGGGCGUAAAGAGCUCGUAGGUGGUUUGUCGCGUUGUUCGUGAAAACUCACAACUCAAUUGUGGGCGUGCGGGCGAUACGGGCAGACUGGAGUACUGCAGGGGAGACUGGAAUUCCUGGUGUAGCGGUGGAAUGCGCAGAUAUCAGGAGGAACACCGGUGGCGAAGGCGGGUCUCUGGGCAGUAACUGACGCUGAGGCACGAAAGCCAAGGGAGCAAACAGG
RNAcentral lists this ribosomal RNA (251 nucleotides) under uncultured Mycobacterium sp. RNAcentral describes it as "partial 16S ribosomal RNA". It matches the Rfam family "Bacterial small subunit ribosomal RNA", at positions 526 to 776 of the family's 1533-position model. Lineage: Bacteria; Bacillati; Actinomycetota; Actinomycetes; Mycobacteriales; Mycobacteriaceae. The record is from RNAcentral.